This 253-nucleotide ribosomal RNA is filed under the name uncultured bacterium. RNAcentral describes it as "partial 16S ribosomal RNA". It matches the Rfam family "Bacterial small subunit ribosomal RNA", at positions 524 to 776 of the family's 1533-position model. The record is from RNAcentral.
UACGUAGGGGGCUAGCGUUGUCCGGAAUCAUUGGGCGUAAAGAGCGUGUAGGCGGUCCGGUAAGUCCGUUGUGAAAGUCAGGGGCUCAACCCUUGAAUGCCGGCGGAUACUGUCGGGCUAGAGUCCGGAAGAGGCGAGUGGAAUUCCCGGUGUAGCGGUGAAAUGCGCAGAUAUCGGGAGGAACACCUAUGGCGAAGGCAGCUCGCUGGGACGUUACUGACGCUGAGACGCGAAAGCGUGGGGAGCAAACAGG